UACGUAGGUGGCAAGCGUUGUCCGGAUUUACUGGGCGUAAAGAGCGCGCAGGCGGUCGUUCAAGUCGCGUGUGAAAGCCCCCGGCUCAACUGGGGAGGGUCACGCGAUACUGAUCGACUCGAAGGCAGGAGAGGGUAGUGGAAUUCCCGGUGUAGUGGUGAAAUGCGUAGAUAUCGGGAGGAACACCAGAGGCGAAGGCGACUACCUGGCCUGUUCUUGACGCUGAGGCGCGAAAGCUAGGGGAGCAAACGGG
This 253-nucleotide ribosomal RNA is filed under the name uncultured bacterium. RNAcentral describes it as "partial 16S ribosomal RNA". It matches the Rfam family "Bacterial small subunit ribosomal RNA", at positions 524 to 776 of the family's 1533-position model. The record is from RNAcentral.